AGAGUUUGCUUCUGGCUCAGGAUGAACGCUAGCGGCAGGCUUAACACAUGCAAGUCGAGGGGCAUCGGGAGGGAAGCUUGCUUUCCUUGCCGGCGACCGGCGCACGGGUGAGUAACACGUAUGCAACCUGCCCUCUUCAGGGGGACAACCUUCCGAAAGGGAGGCUAAUCCCGCGUAUAUCGGUUUCGGGCAUCCGAGAUCGAGGAAAGAUUCAUCGGAAGAGGAUGGGCAUGCGGCGCAUUAGCUAGACGGCGGGGUAACGGCCCACCGUGGCGACGAUGCGUAGGGGUUCUGAGAGGAAGGUCCCCCACACUGGUACUGAGACACGGACCAGACUCCUACGGGAGGCAGCAGUGAGGAAUAUUGGUCAAUGGGAGAGAUCCUGAACCAGCCAAGCCGCGUGAGGGAAGACGGCCCUAUGGGUUGUAAAUCUCUUUUGUCGGAGAACAAAACCCGGGACGAGUCCCGGACUGCGUGUAUCCGAAGAAAAAGCAUCGGCUAACUCCGUGCCAGCAGCCGCGGUAAUACGGAGGAUGCGAGCGUUAUCCGGAUUUAUUGGGUUUAAAGGGUGCGUAGGCGGUCCGUUAAGUCAGCGGUAAAAUUGCGGGGUUCAACCCCGUCGAGCCGUUGAAACUGGCAGACUUGAGUUGGCGAGAAGUACGGGGAAUGCGCGGUGUAGCGGUGAAAUGCAUAGAUAUCGCGCAGAACUCCGAUUUGCGAAGGCAGUGUACCGGCGCCAGACUGACGCUGAGGCACGAAAGCGUGGGGAUCGAACAGGAUUAGAUACCCUGGUAGUCCACGCAGUAAACGAUGAAUGCUGGUUGUCCGGGUCGAAUGAGACCUGGGCGGCGAAGCGAAAGCGAUAAGCAUUCCACCUGGGGAGUACGCCGGCAACGGUGAAACUCAAAGGAAUUGACGGGGGCCCGCACAAGCGGAGGAACAUGUGGUUUAAUUCGAUGAUACGCGAGGAACCUUACCCGGGCUCAAACGGGAGUGGAAUGGACCAGAGACGGUUCAGCCUACGGGCCGCUUCCGAGGUGCUGCAUGGUUGUCGUCAGCUCGUGCCGUGAGGUGUCGGCUUAAGUGCCAUAACGAGCGCAACCCCCGCCGGCAGUUGCUAACGGGCAAUGCCGAGGACUCUGCCGGGACUGCCGCCGCAAGGCGUGAGGAAGGCGGGGAUGACGUCAAAUCAGCACGGCCCUUACGUCCGGGGCGACACACGUGUUACAAUGGGCGGUACAGCGGGAAGCCAGGCGGCGACGCCGAGCGGAACCCGAAAGCCGUUCUCAGUUCGGAUCGGAGUCUGCAACCCGACUCCGUGAAGCUGGAUUCGCUAGUAAUCGCGCAUCAGCCAUGGCGCGGUGAAUACGUUCCCGGGCCUUGUACACACCGCCCGUCA
Molecule: ribosomal RNA, 1399 nt
Filed under: uncultured bacterium
Lineage: Bacteria
Description: 16S ribosomal RNA
Rfam family: Bacterial small subunit ribosomal RNA
Source: RNAcentral